GACGAACGCUGGCGGCGUGCUUAACACAUGCAAGUCGAACGGAAAGGCCCAGCUUGCUGGGUACUCGAGUGGCGAACGGGUGAGUAACACGUGGGUGAUCUGCCCUGCACUCUGGGAUAAGCCUGGGAAACUGGGUCUAAUACCGGAUAUAACCGACUGUCGCAGGGUGGUUGGUGGAAAGCUUUUGCGGUGUGGGAUGGGCCCGCGGCCUAUCAGCUUGUUGGUGGGGUAAUGGCCUACCAAGGCGACGACGGGUAGCCGACCUGAGAGGGUGAUCGGCCACACUGGGACUGAGACACGGCCCAGACUCCUACGGGAGGCAGCAGUGGGGAAUAUUGCACAAUGGGCGCAAGCCUGAUGCAGCGACGCCGCGUGAGGGAUGACGGCCUUCGGGUUGUAAACCUCUUUCACCAGGGACGAAGCGUGAGUGACGGUACCUGGAGAAGAAGCACCGGCCAACUACGUG
This 466-nucleotide ribosomal RNA is filed under the name uncultured bacterium. Its description in RNAcentral is "partial 16S ribosomal RNA". It matches the Rfam family "Bacterial small subunit ribosomal RNA", at positions 28 to 507 of the family's 1533-position model. The record is from RNAcentral.